Molecule: long non-coding RNA, 605 nt
Filed under: Rattus norvegicus (Norway rat)
Lineage: Eukaryota; Metazoa; Chordata; Mammalia; Rodentia; Muridae
Description: long non-coding RNA NONRATT033658
Source: RNAcentral
CGUCUACCAUGUCAAGAUACCAGAUGCUGGAGUCUCAAAAUGAAAGGCCAAAUUCUUGUUCUGCAGGCAUUGACAGUCUCCACGGGGAAGAAAAGAAAGCACAAUGAGGAAGCAGUCUUACGACGGAACUGUCGGGAGACACUGAGAAGCAAAGAUAUGGACACAGCUCCACCUUGCGGUGAAUCAACGCAUAUGCUAAGAUAAAUUGGAUUUCUAUACCUUCUCCCCACAAGGAUUUUGAUGGACACAACAUGAAUGAAUUCAGCAUAAAACAGAUGGAAUAUAAUAAAUGCUCAUAGUAAAUAUUUGGCACAGGAAGUGCUCCUGAGAAAACGUUUUUGAGCUUUCCCACUUAGAGAUUCCACACUUUAACCCAACACAAGCUCGGAAGCCCAUGGUCAUGUGCAUGCAUGUGCGCAUGCUGGCUUAUGAUGACGACAAUAAUGGCGUUGACAAGGAUAGCAGUGAACAAUAAAGAACCAAAAGAACCUCACUGUCCCAGAGGUCUCCGCUCACUGGUACAAGUCAGUCCUAUCUAAAUCAAAGGAAACAUUUGCUGCAAACACAGGCAGGAAAUCCCUAUCAUUGCAAUGAGAAUUAAUUGC